CAAUGGGCAAUGUCUCUCAGUGAUUUACUCAUCCUGCCCUCCUCAUGUCGCCACCGCUUGAUGUUCAGUGAUUCGGCUUCAUGCAUACUACUCGUCAUCCUGCUCUUCUAUGUAAUUUAGGAUUUGCCACAACUUGCUAUGGUAAAAAGCUUGAACCUCUUGCCAAUUAACUUUUGAUAUCCUAUUGAUAUGUGUGUAAAACUGCACUAGUGAACAUGGUUUUGCAUUUGUUAUAGCCUGCUAUUGUAAAAAGGCCUGAACCUGAAUAUAUGCUACUGCAGUAUAGUUAGCCGUUGUGCAAAAGUUCAGUUAGCUAUCAGAUGCAUGGCCUUAGCUGAGAGAUUUCUUUUGCAGCCAUGUGCUUGUAUGGCUACUCUCGCAUACAAAAGGAAACUAUAUGUUGACCAUCUGAUUGUUGAACCCUGCUGUAAUGACAAAAACUAGAUCCUCUUGAUCGCUGAAUGGUGUCAUAAUCAGAUGAACAUAAACACAUGAACUAAAGUAUGCAUGUACAAGCAGGAAGCAGCGCAUCCUUGUAUCAUUGCAUCCUUGUAUCUACAUGUCCGAAUAAACAGCUUCUGGAUGCAACUACUAUAUGUAUGCUAAAACCUGAAACUUAUGGUUCUGCUGUCCCAUAAAUAGUACUUCAAUAGUGUUGUUAAAACUGAAUAAAGACUGAGCUUGCACUUAAUUUUGACUUGCUACAGAGAUGUAUAGCCCUGCACCAGUGUACUUUUCUCUCCACUACUAGAUAAAAGAGAACUAAAAUUAAUCUUUUCCAUGCCUCUCCUAAUUGAUUAGCUACCCAUGAUGUUAAGCAUCUAAAGCCCACAAGCAUUUUCAGUACGCCUAGAAAUUGAUACAAGCAGAUACAUGGUAAACUUCAGUUUUUGACUAUAUUAUGACAUACUAAACUGGGUAAAUCAAUAUGUUCCUAAUUUUGGAUGAGUAUAGUAAAUUUUCUGGUUUUCUGAACUAUGCCAGCAGCUACAGUAAUCAUAUUUUAUUGAUGUUUUUAUUCUGAACAUUCUGAUCUUGUUUUUCAUGGUUUGUUGUCUGCUUCUCCCUGACUGUGCCCCAGCUGCAUCAUGCAUGUUGAUUGCUUCACAUGUUAGAUCCCAAUGAAUGAAAUCUUCAUUUUCUAUUUAUAUAAUCUGACAUGAACUGCUUGUUGGCAGUGCUGCCUGUUUACGUCUAUUUUACGCAAUCUAGUUCUUUUUGUCUACGACCAAUGCGAAGCCAAAUUUUAACAGGUAAGUCAAUGUAAUCAGUUGUGUUACAAGUACUCCAUCCAUAUGCUUACCCAUAGUGCAAGAAAGAGUAAAUGCUUUUCAUUAAUUUCACUUUAACUAUUACUUAUAUAUAAUAUUAGUGCAUCAUGUGUUUGCAUCCUAACUUAUCUACUUUAUUAUAUUCAGAUGUAAGCUACAGAAAAGUACAUUUGCACAUAUAAAAUGGCUGCAUCUUUUAAGGUCCAUUUCCAAACAAGUUUAUGCAGAAUUCAUUUAUCUAGUGUAGGCUGGUGGUCUUUUUGCAAUUCAUUCAGUUCACUCACUGUUAUCGUUUCCAUCUUCAGUUACUAAAAUAAUGCCACCAAGCGAGAGCAUGUGAAGAGACGCAUAGUAAGCAACACGAAGAAUUGGAAGCUGUGAAGAAGAGCGAGUAAGAGAAGAAUGAAGCAUGGCAAAAGAAGCAACAUGAGAUGGAUAACCUCAUUGGUUUUCUCUUAAGGGUUCAAGCAAGUCAGCAAGCAACUCAACGGUCCUAGUACAAACCAGAAGGUGCAUGAAGGCCAUCCUUUUGUGAUGGAAAUAGUUGUUGAAUCAUACAUUGCAAUCAUCAUGACAACACAUGUUGUUUUUAUUUAUCUAAAUAUUUCUUUUCAACUUGACUAUUGUUGUGUCAAACUCGUGAGUUGGUGUUAUUUUGUAUUGUCAUUUUCGCUUAGAGGACAAUUAGGCUGAGAGAUUGAAUAUAUAGUAUGAUUUCUCUUCCAUUUUAUUUUAUGAUGUGAUUUGGAUCUUAACUUUUUAUAUAAUGUGAUGUGAAUUAAAUACUUACUGUGAGAUGGCGUCAUCUUCAUCAAUAAUGAAAGUAUGGACGCUAGCAGUAGGAUAU
RNAcentral lists this long non-coding RNA (2118 nucleotides) under Triticum aestivum (bread wheat). RNAcentral describes it as "long non-coding RNA (TAES_LNC017616)". The record is from RNAcentral. Lineage: Eukaryota; Viridiplantae; Streptophyta; Magnoliopsida; Poales; Poaceae.